RNAcentral lists this ribosomal RNA (206 nucleotides) under uncultured bacterium. RNAcentral describes it as "partial 16S ribosomal RNA". It matches the Rfam family "Bacterial small subunit ribosomal RNA", at positions 568 to 774 of the family's 1533-position model. The record is from RNAcentral.
CGCGUAGGUGGCUCUAUAAGUCCGUUGUGAAAGUCAAAGGCUCAACCUUUGAAAGCCGAUGGAUACUGUAGAGCUAGAGUCCGGAAGAGGCGAGUGGAAUUCCUGGUGUAGCGGUGGAAUGCGCAGAUAUCAGGAGGAACACCAAUAGCGAAGGCAGCUCGCUGGGACGUGACUGACACUAAGGCGCGAAAGCGUGGGAGCGAACA